Molecule: long non-coding RNA, 653 nt
Filed under: Brassica napus (rape)
Lineage: Eukaryota; Viridiplantae; Streptophyta; Magnoliopsida; Brassicales; Brassicaceae
Description: long non-coding RNA (BNAP_LNC010823)
Source: RNAcentral
GACAAACAAAACUACAAGACUUGAGACAAAACACUACAAGAUACAAGACUUGAGAUACACGGACACAACAGAACUAGACUCGUGACACAAGAGUACAAGAGACUUGUGACACAACACUACAAGACUCGUGAGAUACACGGAUUUCCUCGACCACAAGACCUGAACUCUCCACUCUGCAUCACAAGAACAAUAACCUGCAUCACAAGAACAAUAACAGUUUAAACAUACAAGAACAAGAACAUUUUUUAAAAACCAGAACAAGAAUACUAGAAGAAGCUGCAUCACAAUAACAACUUAAACAGAUCAAGAAAAUCUAUUCCGAGAACAAGAACAUUUUUUAAAAAACAGACAAGAACAAGCAACCUAAACAUGAAACAGAACAAGAAACCUAAUUUAGAACAAGUCAUUUAUGAGCUUCUUCUUGAGUGAUUCUUCAUAGUCAGCAAGAGGUUCUUUUUUUCCUAAAAGACUUUGAAGCAUAUUCAUCUUAGAUAGCUUCUCUUUAGCGGCCAAAUCCUGCUGUUUGAUCCUCCACAUUGUCUCAAACUCAUCCAGAUUUUUCUCGUCUACCACCUUCUUCUUACCACUUUUUCACACCCGGGGGACGUUUGUUCUCUGUUGCUUGAGAGGUCUCUGAAUCAGCUCCAUCCUCA